AAAGGCUUGACGGUACUUCACACCAACCUAGAGGAGCCUGUCCAAUAACCGAUACUCCACGAUUAACCCCACCCACCCUAGCCUAAACAGUCUAUAUACCGCCGUCGCCAGCUCACCUUGUGAAAGAAAUAAAGCGAGCAAAAUAAGCCACCCUUAACACGACAGGUCGAGGUGUAACUAAUGAGUGGGUAAAAGAUGGGCUACAUUUUCUAAGCACAGAAAACACGGAUAAACUAUGAAACUAGAAACUAAAGGCGGAUUUAGCAGUACGAUAAGAACAAAAUACUUA
This 289-nucleotide ribosomal RNA is filed under the name Ialtris haetianus. RNAcentral's name for it is "partial 12S ribosomal RNA". Lineage: Eukaryota; Metazoa; Chordata; Lepidosauria; Squamata; Dipsadidae. The record is from RNAcentral.